AGAACGAACGCUGGCGGCAUGCCUAACACAUGCAAGUCGAACGAGACCUUCGGGCCUAGUGGCGCACGGGUGCGUAACGCGUGGGAAUCUGCCCUUGGGUUCGGGAUAACAGUUGGAAACGACUGCUAAUACCGGAUGAUGACUUCGGUCCAAAGAUUUAUCGCCCAGGGAUGAGCCCGCGUAGGAUUAGCUAGUUGGUGAGGUAAAGGCUCACCAAGGCGACGAUCCUUAGCUGGUCUGAGAGGAUGAUCAGCCACACUGGGACUGAGACACGGCCCAGACUCCUACGGGAGGCAGCAGUGGGAAUAUUGGACAAUGGGCGAAAGCCUGAUCCAGCAAUGCCGCGUGAGUGAUGAAGGCCUUAGGGUUGUAAAGCUCUUUUACCCGGGAUGAUAAUGACAGUACCGGAGAAUAAGCCCCGGAUAACUCCGUGCCAGCAGCGC
This 443-nucleotide ribosomal RNA is filed under the name uncultured soil bacterium. Its description in RNAcentral is "bacterial SSU rRNA". It matches the Rfam family "Bacterial small subunit ribosomal RNA", at positions 26 to 518 of the family's 1533-position model. The record is from RNAcentral.